UAUCGCAACUACGGGCACCUGGAGUUGAUUCGGCUGCAGCUGGCCGCCCAGUUUGAGAAUUGGUGUAAGACAUCACAAUCCCAUUAUUCAGAGCGCGUAUGGAGUGGAAACGCUUGUAGGGUUUCACCAGUCUUUCCCAGGGAACUCCGAUGAAGUGUUCCAACAAAAUGAGCGAGUGAACCAAGAAGAGGAUGACAUUAGAUCCAGGAGAUACAACAGAGGAGAUAAUCUCCAGGAUGCCUGUGAAGAAAGAUCCCUGGAUCCCAGGAUGAUUAUAGGACAAGUUGUUCAUAAUCCAGCAGGCCAGAAGACUUCCAGGGAAACUCAUUUCAAGAUGAAAAUGGACCAGCCGCAGUGGCUCACGCCUGUAAUACCAGCACUUUGGGAGGCUGAGGCAGGCGGAUCACUUGAGGUCAGGAGUUUGAAACUAGCCUGGCCAACGUGGCAAAACUCCAUCUCUAUUAAAAAUACAAAAAUUAGCCAGGCAUAGUGGUGCAUGCCUGUAGUCCCAGCUACUUGGGAUGCUGAGGCAGGAAGAAUUGCUUGAACCUGGGAGGCAGAGUCUGCAGUGAGCCGAGAUCAUGCCACUGCACUCCAGCCUGGGUGACAGAGCCAGACUCCGUCUCAAAAAAAAAAGAAAAAGAAAAAAAAAAUGAUGACUCUUUCAAGAAAUGAAAAUGAUGAGAUAUCUGGUAGGUCUGAAUGACUUAAGAGGAGAUUUAAACAUUUGGGAUAAGUUGAAGAUGAGCUGGUGUUCGUCUUCAUUUAUUUCAUUUAAAUAAAUAAAAUUAUUAAUACAUGAAUUUUAUCUCAAGAAACAAAAAUAAGCAAUGUACAUAAAAAUUAAGCAGAUGGCUGGCCGGGCGCGGUGGCUCACGCCUGUAAUCAGAGCAC
RNAcentral lists this long non-coding RNA (894 nucleotides) under Homo sapiens (human). Its description in RNAcentral is "non-protein coding lnc-NAIP-2:6". The record is from RNAcentral. Lineage: Eukaryota; Metazoa; Chordata; Mammalia; Primates; Hominidae.